Molecule: long non-coding RNA, 616 nt
Organism: Folsomia candida
Lineage: Eukaryota; Metazoa; Arthropoda; Collembola; Entomobryomorpha; Isotomidae
Exons: 3
Source: RefSeq, a predicted model, not a curated record
GACGAAUCUAUUAUUGAACUAUAUCCAAAAUUGAACCAACAAAAUGUUCGUCAUUUCCAACAAAUUCCUGCACACAUAUUUUCUCUUUACAAAUAUACGACAUAAAUUUCUGGUGACGACAUAAAUUUCUGGAGCAGCCAUGAAGAGGUGUCGCUUUUCCAAUCCAAAAUUCCAGAAAUACCUGCCCAAGGUUUACCAAAAUGCACAGAUUUCUCGUCGGGAAUUGGAACCAGGAAUGCAAUACCACAUGAAGUAAUCUGCCAUCAAGCACCAUCAUCAUGCACAAUUUCGGAAGACGCCAAGCAGAGGAAGUGGGGGACAUAAAUACUUCAUUGCUUCUUGGAAUUAAGGUUAUCGAAGUGAAUUACUUGAUUUUUAGUUUAAGUAUAAUUAAUUUCGAAAAAGUACUUAUCGUUAGAUAUGAGUUCGUUAAUUAUUAUAUUUAAGUUUAGUUUAAUUAAUAUUAUUUCGCUAGUUUAAAAAAUUGGGUGUGUUUGAAAUAAGCACAAAUAGCAAGGUCUGUCUUUGGCAAAACAAAAUGUGAAAAGCUAAAGUUCAAUGUACAAUCGUUCCAAACUGCUCAGCUACCACAAAGUAUAGUAAAGGGUGUUAAUAA